RNAcentral lists this ribosomal RNA (492 nucleotides) under uncultured bacterium. RNAcentral describes it as "partial 16S ribosomal RNA". It matches the Rfam family "Bacterial small subunit ribosomal RNA", at positions 29 to 507 of the family's 1533-position model. The record is from RNAcentral.
AGUGAACGCUGGCGGUAGGCCUAACACAUGCAAGUCGAACGGCAGCUCAGUAAGAGCUUGCUCUUACGUGUGUCGAGUGUCGGACGGUUGAGGAAUACAUCGGAAUCUACUUUUUCGUGGGUGAUAACGUAGGGAAACUUACUCUAAUACCGCAUACAACCUACUUGUGAAAGCUGGCGAUCUUCUGACCUGUCGCUAUUGAAUGAGCCUAUGUCGGAUUAGCUAGUUGGCGGGGUAAAGGCCCACCAAGGCGACGAUCCGUAGCUGGUCUGAGAGGAUGAUCAGCCACACUGGAACUGAGACACGGUCCAGACUCCUACGGGAGGCAGCAGUGGGGAAUAUUGGACAAUGGGCGCAAGCCUGAUCCAGCCAUACCGCGUGGGUGAAGAAGGCCUUCGGGUUGUAAAGCCCUUUUGUUGGGAAAGAAAAGCAGCAGGUUAAUACCCCGCUGUUCUGACGGUACCCAAAGAAUAAGCACCGGCUAACUUCGUG